UGAAAUAUCCACCCUAGCACGUUUCAGUGGGAUCACCUUGAGCAAACUGCUAUUCCUCUCUAGACCUUAAUUCUUCAUCGUUAAAUGGGGAUUCAUAACCUCAAAAGAUACAUUAAUGACAAACUCCUUCACUAAACCAGGUGAGGUGUCUUAACGAGUCCCAGCAGGUGGCCCUGUUGGCCCAGAAGUUUACAAGAGACUUUCAGGACGUGGGAAGCCACCACGUGCCAUGUUGAGGGAUGCAACUGGAAAAUGCCCUCAGGAUUUAUUCCUCCCCAGUACUCCUAACAGAACAAACUCGAGACAUCCAGAGUGCUAUCUUCCAGAGAAUUUGCUAUGAGCCUGACAUGGUGCUGGGGCUUGACAUUUGUUCUUUUGAAUCAACUGUGUAGUCAUCAGAAUACCCAUUCCACAGAUGAGAAAACAAAAGCCUCUGUCCCUGCCUCACUCUUGGAAUUUCUGCAGAGUCUCACAGACAAACUCACUUCUCUCCAGCCACUAAGAUGCAAGAAACAGGUGAUUCCCAGUGGAGGACGGUGCUCCAGAGCCCGCACAGGGGGACAGCGCUCUGUUUCCCCCUGAAGCAGAUAAGGGGGAGAAGGAGCCCUCUGCCCACCCCGGGAGGGGGGUCUUCCCCUCUCAAGAGGCCCAGGGGGUCUCUGCAGGCAGAGGUGGGCCGGCUCAGCCAGGCCUCGGGGCCUGGACUCCCUCUUCUUUCCUCUUCAGGGCCUGCGGGAGGUGGGGGCGUCCGGGGGCCCCUUGGUUGGCAUGUGAGGGAGUGAGGCUGGAGAUAUGCCCCCUUCACUCUCUGAGCCCUGCCUCCUGCACCCCAAGGUGUGACCGCUGAGACAGCAAUCAUGGUUUCACACAGUAAAGCCUCCCCUGACGAUCAGCACAGCAUGCUGCUCCCAGCCCUCCGUGUUUCUGCUCCUCACCUGCCCGUCGGCAUCAGGGUGCGUCCUACCUGGGAGGGACCUGGCGUCUCUUUGGGCCAGGAGGUUUCCUAGGAAUAAAACAGGGGUGGAAAUGACCGCUGGGAAGUUGAAGAGCACUCUGGAUGCAGAGGCAUCUGUCUUUUCAACACAUCAUCUCUCCCUCUGGAGGGGCCUGGACUGAAAGAUGGCUAGUUUCAGCCCCAGGGGGCUUUGUGAAGGCAGCGAGCUUGAUAUCAGCUCCUCCCCUCUCCUCGGCCUUGUGAACCCAGAACCUUAGCUGCCCUGAACACGCCAAUCACUCAUUCAUUCAGCAAACAUCCUGGAGCAGCCAGGCCUGGGAGGCGCGCACUGUGCGGGGAGCGAUAAGACCCCCCUGCGGAACACAGCCACCGGGGAGACGGCAUCGGAACACGAUUAUCCUAACAUGAGCCCAAGGACUGAAUCUCAGACAGUGACUUUAGAAGCACUGGUGAGUUCAAACAGGAGUUGAAGCCCAUCUUCCUCUCCAGAGGACCAGGGAGUCCCACGUGCCCGUCCUC
This is a long non-coding RNA of Odocoileus virginianus texanus, 1474 nucleotides long. RefSeq lists it as uncharacterized. The record is from RefSeq and is a predicted model, not a curated record. Lineage: Eukaryota; Metazoa; Chordata; Mammalia; Artiodactyla; Cervidae.